Molecule: ribosomal RNA, 450 nt
Filed under: uncultured Leptolinea sp.
Lineage: Bacteria; Bacillati; Chloroflexota; Anaerolineae; Anaerolineales; Anaerolineaceae
Description: bacterial SSU rRNA
Rfam family: Bacterial small subunit ribosomal RNA
Source: RNAcentral
ACCCGCACAAGCAGCGGAGCGUGUGGUUUAAUUCGUUGCUACACGAAGAACCUUACCUGGGUUUGACAUAUAAGUUGUAGGGAACUGAAAAGGGACCGACCCUUCGGGGAGCUUAUACAGGUGUUGCAUGGCUGUCGUCAGCUCGUGUCGUGAGAUGUUCGGUUAAGUCCGCUAACGAGCGCAACCCUUGCCGUAUGUUACAAGUGUCAUACGGGACUGCCGGUAAAAAGCCGGAGGAAGGUGAGGAUGAUGUCAAGUCAGCAUGGCCUUUAUAUCCUGGGCUACACACACGCUACAAUGGCCAACACAAUAGGUUGCUAAGCCGCGAGGUGGCGCCAAUCCAUAAAGUUGGUCUCAGUUCAGAUUGUAGGCUGCAACCCGCCUGCAUGAAGAUGGAGUUGCUAGUAACCGCAGGUCAGCUAUACUGCGGUGAAUACGUUCCCGGGGCUU